CCUACGGGAGGCAGCAGUGGGGAAUUUUGGACAAUGGGCGCAAGCCUGAUCGAGCUAUUCCGCGUGUGGGAUGACGGCCCUCGGGUUGUAAACCACUUUAGUAGAGAACGAAAAGCAGCAAUCGCAAAAAUCGCCCUGCUGACGGUACUCUAAGAAUAAGCACCGGCUAACUACGUGCCAGCAGCCGCGGUAAUACGUAGGUUGCGAGCGUUAAACGGAAUUACUGGGCGUAAAGGGUGUGCAGGCGGCUGUGUAAGACAGAUGUGAAAUCCCCGGGCUUAACCUGGGAAUCGCAUAUGUGACUGCAGGGCUAGAGUGCGGCAGAGGGAGGUGGAAUUCCACGUGUAGCAGUGAAAUGCGUAGAUAUGUGGAAGAACACCGAUGGCGAAGGCAGCCGCCUGGGACGUAACUGACGCUCAUACACGAAAGCGUGGGGAGCAAACAGGAUUAGAUACCCUUGUAGUC
RNAcentral lists this ribosomal RNA (465 nucleotides) under uncultured bacterium. Its description in RNAcentral is "partial 16S ribosomal RNA". It matches the Rfam family "Bacterial small subunit ribosomal RNA", at positions 338 to 795 of the family's 1533-position model. The record is from RNAcentral.